CGUUAGCUCAGUUGGUAGAGCAACUGACUUUUAAUCAGUGGGUCGCAGGUUCGAUCCCUGCAC
RNAcentral lists this transfer RNA (63 nucleotides) under uncultured Jannaschia sp. It matches the Rfam family "tRNA", at positions 6 to 65 of the family's 71-position model. From Rfam's summary of the family: Transfer RNA (tRNA) molecules are approximately 80 nucleotides in length. Their secondary structure includes four short double-helical elements and three loops (D, anti-codon, and T loops). Further hydrogen bonds mediate the characteristic L-shaped molecular structure. tRNAs have two regions of fundamental functional importance: the anti-codon, which is responsible for specific mRNA codon recognition, and the 3' end, to which the tRNAs corresponding amino acid is attached (by aminoacyl-tRNA synthetases). tRNAs cope with the degeneracy of the genetic code in two manners: having more than one tRNA (with a specific anti-codon) for a particular amino acid; and 'wobble' base-pairing, i.e. permitting non-standard base-pairing at the 3rd anti-codon position. The record is from RNAcentral. Lineage: Bacteria; Pseudomonadati; Pseudomonadota; Alphaproteobacteria; Rhodobacterales; Roseobacteraceae. RNAcentral also lists the same sequence under 1 other name.